RNAcentral lists this ribosomal RNA (664 nucleotides) under Kitasatospora sp. HW_1_2. Its description in RNAcentral is "bacterial SSU rRNA". It matches the Rfam family "Bacterial small subunit ribosomal RNA", at positions 119 to 797 of the family's 1533-position model. Lineage: Bacteria; Bacillati; Actinomycetota; Actinomycetes; Kitasatosporales; Streptomycetaceae. The record is from RNAcentral.
GGGCAAUCUGCCCUGCACUCUGGGACAAGCCCUGGAAACGGGGUCUAAUACCGGAUAUGACCAACUUCCGCAUGGUGGUUGGUGUAAAGCUCCGGCGGUGCAGGAUGAGCCCGCGGCCUAUCAGCUUGUUGGUGGGGUAAUGGCCUACCAAGGCGACGACGGGUAGCCGGCCUGAGAGGGCGACCGGCCACACUGGGACUGAGACACGGCCCAGACUCCUACGGGAGGCAGCAGUGGGGAAUAUUGCACAAUGGGCGAAAGCCUGAUGCAGCGACGCCGCGUGAGGGAUGACGGCCUUCGGGUUGUAAACCUCUUUCAGCAGGGAAGAAGCGCAAGUGACGGUACCUGCAGAAGAAGCACCGGCUAACUACGUGCCAGCAGCCGCGGUAAUACGUAGGGUGCGAGCGUUGUCCGGAAUUAUUGGGCGUAAAGAGCUCGUAGGCGGCCUGUCGCGUCGGAUGUGAAAGCCCGGGGCUUAACCCCGGGUCUGCAUUCGAUACGGGCAGGCUAGAGUGUGGUAGGGGAGAUCGGAAUUCCUGGUGUAGCGGUGAAAUGCGCAGAUAUCAGGAGGAACACCGGUGGCGAAGGCGGAUCUCUGGGCCAUUACUGACGCUGAGGAGCGAAAGCGUGGGGAGCGAACAGGAUUAGAUACCCUGGUAGUCCA